GCCUGCCCAAUGGUUGUAUCUAAAAGCGGUUGAUAAAAGUCGACCGCGUAAGGACAAUUGAAUGGCCGCGGUAACACUGACCGUGAUAAUGUAGCGUAAUCAAUAGCCAAUUAAUUGUUGGCCAGUAUGAAUGGCGCCACGAAGGCCCCACUGUCUUAAGGAAAUUCCCAGUGAAAUUGAAUUUGUAGUGAAGAUGCUACGUCCAAUUUGUUAGACGAAAAGACCCCGUUGAGCUUUACUGGGGCACUUACACGGCCCCGGCCUUCAAGACUGGGUUGAUAAGCCAAGGCUUACCAUACCUAGGGACCGGCCGAAUUUAAAUGGGUGGCUUAGACUAUGUGGCAGCCCCCCCCGUCGGGGCAGAUGAAACCCCACUCCCCCAUGUCAAAGGGGCUAACCCCCCCCCCUUGGGGGGGGACAAUGUAAGUAGGACAGUUUGGUUGGGGCGACCGCCUUUUAGAAAGUAACGAAGGUGCGCUUAAGGUGCGUAAUUAAUGACUGAAGCCUGACUGCGAGGGGGAUACCCCGAGCAGACACCCCCAAGCCCGCCCGAGAAGGCUUUGCCUUCUGGGCGGCGGUGGGGUGGGCCAUAGUGACCCGUUAAUUUAGAGUGGAAUAG
RNAcentral lists this ribosomal RNA (619 nucleotides) under Parazoanthus sp. New Caledonia Shallow. RNAcentral's name for it is "partial 16S large subunit ribsomal RNA". It matches the Rfam family "Bacterial large subunit ribosomal RNA", at positions 1857 to 2441 of the family's 2925-position model. Lineage: Eukaryota; Metazoa; Cnidaria; Anthozoa; Zoantharia; Parazoanthidae. The record is from RNAcentral.